RNAcentral lists this ribosomal RNA (425 nucleotides) under uncultured bacterium. RNAcentral's name for it is "partial 16S ribosomal RNA". It matches the Rfam family "Bacterial small subunit ribosomal RNA", at positions 354 to 796 of the family's 1533-position model. The record is from RNAcentral.
GUUAGGAAUAUUGGACAAUGGGCGAAAGCCUGAUCCAGCCAUGCCGCGUGAACGAUGAAGGCCUUCGGGUUGUAAAGUUCUUUAGCCGAUGAUUAUAAUGACUGUAGUCGGAAAAUAAGCCCCGGCUAACUUCGUGCCAGCAGCCGCGGUAAUACGAAGGGGGCGAGCGUUACUCGGAAUCACUGGGCGUAAAGCGUGCGUAGGCGGUUUUGUAAGUUAGGAGUGAAAGCCCAGGGCUCAACCUUGGAAUGGCUCUCAAAACUGCAAGGCUCUAAUCUCGGAUAGGAUAGCGGAAUUUCCAGUGUAGCAGUGAAAUGCGUAGAUAUUGGAAGGAACACCAGUGGCGUAAGCGGCUAUCUGGACCGAUAUUGACGCUGAGGCACGAAAGCGUGGGGAUCAAACAGGAUUAGAUACCCGGGUAGUCC